This 253-nucleotide ribosomal RNA is filed under the name uncultured bacterium. RNAcentral's name for it is "partial 16S ribosomal RNA". It matches the Rfam family "Bacterial small subunit ribosomal RNA", at positions 524 to 776 of the family's 1533-position model. The record is from RNAcentral.
UACGGAGGGUGCGAGCGUUGUCCGGAAUCACUGGGCGUAAAGGGCGCGUAGGCGGCCUGAUAAGUAGGGGGUGAAAUCCUGCGGCUUAACCGCAGGGCUGCCUUCUGAACUGUCGGGCUAGAGCACGGUAGAGGCAGAUGGAAUUCCCGGUGUAGCGGUGGAAUGCGUAGAGAUCGGGAAGAACAUCAGUGGCGAAGGCGGUCUGCUGGGCCGUUGCUGACGCUGAGGCGCGACAGCGUGGGGAGCAAACAGG